RNAcentral lists this ribosomal RNA (322 nucleotides) under uncultured eukaryote. Its description in RNAcentral is "partial 18S ribosomal RNA". It matches the Rfam family "Eukaryotic small subunit ribosomal RNA", at positions 1470 to 1796 of the family's 1831-position model. The record is from RNAcentral.
CCCUUAGAUGUCCUGGGCCGCACGCGCGUUACACUGAGUGGAUCAGCGGGUCAGGUUGCGCGAAAGCGUUUCCUAAUCUUUAAAUCCGCUCGUGAUGGGGAUUGACGGUUGCAAUUUUCUGUCAUGAACGAGGAAUACCUUGUAAGCGCGGGUCAUCAUCCCGCGCUGAAUACGUCCCUGCCCUUUGUACACACCGCCCGUCGCUCCUACCGAUUGAGUGGUCCGGUGAGGCUUUGGGAUCUGAGCGGAAAGAGCGUUUCGCUGUUUCUGCUCGGAAAACUCAGUCGAACCUUAUCAUUUAGAGGAAGGAGAAGUCGUAACA